Molecule: unclassified non-coding RNA, 433 nt
Filed under: Zea mays
Lineage: Eukaryota; Viridiplantae; Streptophyta; Magnoliopsida; Poales; Poaceae
Description: misc RNA Zm00001eb308140
Source: RNAcentral
GUCGGCGGCGUGCUGUCCACUGGGCUUCACAAAACAGCGAGCCGACAGAGCACGGAGAUGUCGGGGCUGCUGCGCACAACACAAAUUUCCCACGGGCAUUCCAUCGAACAGCCAAGGGGGAAGAUUGCAGGGGGCGCCAUGGACGACGGCGAGCUCGCUGCGGCUGCUGUUUUGUGGGGAAGAGAGGAGGAGCAGGGGCCUAGAGCUAGGCGACAUUGCUGCUGCUGCUUUCCAUGGGAGAGAAAAAAAAUAGGGCGCAGGGAACAGCAGCUACGGACAGGGAAAGUGGAGGUCGGCCAUGGGAGGUAGGGAGGAAAAUCUGCUUGUGGUUGCUGCCGUGCGCGCGAUAGAACUCAAGGGAGGGAGAUGCAGGGAGCUCGGGCUUGAGCCAUGGAGCCGAGCUGCUGGGCGCCGGCCAUGGAGCAGGGGCUUG